CAGGCGGUCAGGAAGGAACAGUGGCAGAAGAGCAGAGGGGGAGCCAAGACAAACUGACACCAACCAGUGAGGAAAGCUGGAACCCGUGUCCCUCUCUCACCACCUUCAAAACCUCCAACUUCCAUGCGGCAGGUGACCCGCCAGAGAGGCUGGUUUUCUGUGGAGGAGCUAAACACGCACUGGCCCAGGAGUUGGAGAUGCUGGAGGAGGACACGUGAUGAGGGGAGGAGCUGCAGGCUCGGCUGAUAGGCCCCAGAGACUGUACUCGGUGCGCGAGGGUUUGGAGGAGUCCGCCCGCUGCUGGGGCACGGAGGGCAGGGCCUCCGCCCCACGCCAUCGAGGAGAGCGUUAGGUCAGGGACGGCGUGCGUGAGAGGCGUGUGCGCUGGUGCCCUAUUCUGACUGCUAGAGCUAAAAAGACUGUGGCUGACGCUUCUCUCCUGACUUACAGAUCUCACACAUGUUGUCUGUUUGUGACCAGCGCUAUGCAGGCUCUCAAAAUCUUUCAUUCAUCUUAACUGAACUGUGACUCCAAACGUCCACUUCUGUGCACCUGCGUCAACGGUUUUCUGCUGUCUUAUGUCUCAAAGUCCAACUUGAUUAUCCUCACACUUGGCAGUAGAUCAUCAGGGAUAAGAGGGAGAGAUUUAGGAAUUCAAUUAUUUGUUUCCAUAAGUUUGAAGAUGACUCUUCCCUUCCUGUUGUCUUUUCUUGUUUGUCAAAUGCAAGCUACAGAAUUUGCAGCCCAGUGCAAAAUGAAGAUGUGGGGCCCUUUAUUCAAAUGUCACUAUGAAUUUCAAGACAGCAACAUCAGAGCAUUAAACCAAGCCUAGGGCCGUUCUGAGCCCAAGGACAUGUGCCACUGCACAGGUCCCAUGUCCAUGCAGCUGGCCCUGAAGGGAAGUAAUGAUACGUGCCUGCUCUCAUAAGAGUCAAAAGGAAAGAUGCAUGUGAAAACACUUAGUAAAGCACAAUGCAAAAAACUAAUUUACUAGGAUUUGUUAAAACUCUCAAUAAAGAAUUUCUUGUUAU
Molecule: long non-coding RNA, 1031 nt
Filed under: Equus caballus (horse)
Lineage: Eukaryota; Metazoa; Chordata; Mammalia; Perissodactyla; Equidae
Description: lncRNA (ENSECAG00000054379.1)
Source: RNAcentral